GAUGAACGCUGGCGGCGUGCCUAAUACAUGCAAGUCGAGCGAACGGACGAGAAGCUUGCUUCUCUGAUGUUAGCGGCGGACGGGUGAGUAACACGUGGAUAACCUACCUAUAAGACUGGGAUAACUUCGGGAAACCGUAGCUUAUACCGGAUAAUAUUUUGAACCGCAUGGUUCAAAAGUGAAAGACGGCCUUGCUGUCACUUAUAGAUGGAUCCGCGCUGCAUUAGCUAGUUGGUAAGGUAACGGCUUACCAAGGCAACGAUGCAUAGCCGACCUGAGAGGGUGAUCGGCCACACUGGAACUGAGACGCGGUCCAGACUCCUACGGGAGGCAGCAGUAGGGAAUGUGCCGCAAUGGGCGAAAGCCUGACGGAGCAACGCCGCGUGAGUGAUGGAGGUCUUCGGAUCGUAAAACUCUGUUAUUAGGGAAGAACAUAUGUGUAAGUAACUGUGCACAUCGUGACGGUACCUAAUCAGAAAGCCACGGCUAACUACGUG
RNAcentral lists this ribosomal RNA (497 nucleotides) under uncultured bacterium. RNAcentral's name for it is "partial 16S ribosomal RNA". It matches the Rfam family "Bacterial small subunit ribosomal RNA", at positions 28 to 507 of the family's 1533-position model. The record is from RNAcentral.